Molecule: ribosomal RNA, 429 nt
Filed under: Gemmatimonadota bacterium
Lineage: Bacteria; Pseudomonadati; Gemmatimonadota
Description: Gemmatimonadetes bacterium partial 16S ribosomal RNA
Rfam family: Bacterial small subunit ribosomal RNA
Source: RNAcentral
UAGGGAAUCUUCGGCAAUGGACGAAAGUCUGACCGAGCAACGCCGCGUGAGUGAAGAAGGUUUUCGGAUCGUAAAACUCUGUUGCUAGAGAAGAACAAGGACGUUAGUAACUGAACGUCCCCUGACGGUAUCUAACCAGAAAGCUACGGCUAACUACGUGCCAGCAGCCGCGGUAAUACGUAGGUGGCAAGCGUUGUCCGGAUUUAUUGGGCGUAAAGCGAGCGCAGGCGGUUUCUUAAGUCUGAUGUGAAAGCCCCCGGCUCAACCGGAGAGGGUCAUUGGAAACUGAGAGACUUGAGUGCAGAAGAGGAGAGUGGAAUUCCAUGUGUAGCGGUGAAAUGCGUAGAUAUAUGGAGGAACACCAGUGGCGAGGGCGGCUCUCUGGUCUGUAACUGACACUGAGGCUCGAAAGCGUGGGGAGCAAACAGG